This 345-nucleotide ribosomal RNA is filed under the name uncultured bacterium. RNAcentral's name for it is "bacterial SSU rRNA". It matches the Rfam family "Bacterial small subunit ribosomal RNA", at positions 8 to 349 of the family's 1533-position model. The record is from RNAcentral.
AGAGUUUGAUCAUGGCUCAGGAUGAACGCUAGCUACAGGCUUAACACAUGCAAGUCGAGGGGCAGCAUGUUGGUUGCUUGCAACCAACGAUGGCGACCGGCGCACGGGUGAGUAACGCGUAUCCAACCUACCCUUGUCCAUCGGAUAACCCGUCGAAAGGCGGCCUAACACGAUAUGCGGUUCACAGCAGGCAUCUAACGUGAACGAAAUGUAAAGGAGAAGGAUGGGGAUGCGUCUGAUUAGCUUGUUGGCGGGGUAACGGCCACCAAGGCUACGAUCAGUAGGGGUUCUGAGAGGAAGGUCCCCCAUAUUGGAACUGAGACACGGUCCAAACUCCUAGGAGCA